Molecule: ribosomal RNA, 287 nt
Filed under: Paphia sinuosa
Lineage: Eukaryota; Metazoa; Mollusca; Bivalvia; Venerida; Veneridae
Description: partial 16S ribosomal RNA
Rfam family: Bacterial large subunit ribosomal RNA
Source: RNAcentral
CGUGGAUUAAUUGUCUCUAGAGAAAUGAGUGAAAUUUCCUUUUAAAUGAAAAGGUUUAUAUUUUUGUAAAAGACGAGAAGACCCUGUCGAGCUUAAUUAGGCUUAGGAAUUUUUGGCAAACAUUAUUGCCAUUUUUUAGGUUGAAUUUUAGUUGGGGAGAGCUAAACUUUAGAUAAUAGGUUUGAGGCAGACACAGAUCCUUUUCGAGAGAAAAUCGGUAAAAGUUACCGCAGGGAUAACAGCGUAAUUUUUCUUGAGAGAUCGUAUUGAGGGAAAAGUUUGCGACC